This 301-nucleotide ribosomal RNA is filed under the name uncultured bacterium. Its description in RNAcentral is "partial 16S ribosomal RNA". It matches the Rfam family "Bacterial small subunit ribosomal RNA", at positions 509 to 808 of the family's 1533-position model. The record is from RNAcentral.
CAGUCUCCGCGGUAAUACGUAUGUCACAAGCGUUAUCCGGAUUUAUUGGGCGUAAAGCGCGUCUAGGUGGUUAUGUAAGUCUGAUGUGAAAAUGCAGGGCUCAACUCUGUAUUGCGUUGGAAACUGUGUAACUAGAGUACUGGAGAGGUAAGCGGAACUACAAGUGUAGAGGUGAAAUUCGUAGAUAUUUGUAGGAAUGCCGAUGGGGAAGCCAGCUUACUGGACAGAUACUGACGCUAAAGCGCGAAAGCGUGGGUAGCAAACAGGAUUAGAUACCCCUGUAGUCCCUGUCUCUUAUACA